Molecule: long non-coding RNA, 925 nt
Organism: Vollenhovia emeryi
Lineage: Eukaryota; Metazoa; Arthropoda; Insecta; Hymenoptera; Formicidae
Exons: 2
Source: RefSeq, a predicted model, not a curated record
UAACACCACACAUUAUUUUAUAAUUAUAUACUUUCUAUGAUACGCACGGAAAAAAAUAAUUUUGCUGUUGCAGCGAAAUUGUUGCUGCUACUUGAAUACUGCAUAUGUAUUUGAUAAGAAUGUGAUGGCGAUACGAAAAUCUCUUUAUUAUACAUUAUUAAAAUUAUUCAUCAUUACAGCAGAACGUUUGACUGAACAGAAAUUCUUUUAUUUCUUUAGCUAAAUAUUUCGCACAAUUAUUUUUCAAUAAAAUUAGUGUUCUUAACACAGAGUUGACCAUAAACGAGAAAAUAACUUUAUUAUUAAAUAACAGACAAAAUUUACUUAAAUUUACAUAUGGUAUACUGUGCUAGCAAAUUAUUUUUCUCCGCGUGAUGUCCGUGAGUGGAACAAGUUUUCAACUUGCCUGCAACAGCCCUGAUGUGGGGCCUAGUCGAUGUAUUUACAGCCCGGCUGAAGUGCCCACAAUACUUCCUUGCCGAUAGCUGGUUGCUAAGGCGGGAAAGAACUCACUCACUAGAUAUAUGAGAUAUAAGAGACUUUAUUGAGAUCUCGGUUCACGGUAAGGUGAUCGGUCUUAACCGUGACACAGGCGAGUAACGACUAACAUAUUCUGUUCCCGCUCGAACAGCGCCACCAACGACCAUAGACUGUGUCGUCGUAUAGAUGGGCAACUGCAAGUCGCCACACACUCCCCCCCGAGUGCUAACGCUGGAGAGAAAGAAAAAAAAUAAUUUGGUAUGACACUGUGUGUCUAUCACAAAUAAUCGGCGCUGCCGAAUAUCACAAAGAAUAUUGCAGGCAUACAUGUAAUACCGCUGCUUAGAACUAGAGUGUAUACGCAGGAUGUAUCACAGAAAUUACAGACUGUUAUAAUUUGACAAUACCGCUACUUAUAGACUAACGCAUACGCAGGAUGUAUCGC